UGGGGAAUUUUGGACAAUGGGGGAAACCCUGAUCCAGCCAUCCCGCGUGUGCGAUGAAGGCCUUCGGGUUGUAAAGCACUUUUGGCAGGAAAGAAACGUCGCGGGUUAAUACCCCGCGAAACUGACGGUACCUGCAGAAUAAGCACCGGCUAACUACGUGCCAGCAGCCGCGGUAAUACGUAGGGUGCAAGCGUUAAUCGGAAUUACUGGGCGUAAAGCGUGCGCAGGCGGUUCGGAAAGAAAGAUGUGAAAUCCCAGAGCCUAACUUUGGAACUGCAUUUUUAACUACCGGGCUAGAGUGUGUCAGAGGGAGGUGGAAUUCCGCGUGUAGCAGUGAAAUGCGUAGAUAUGCGGAGGAACACCGAUGGCGAAGGCAGCCUCCUGGGAUAACACUGACGCUCAUGCACGAAAGCGUGGGGAGCAAACAGGAUUAGAUACCCUGGUAGUCCACGCCCUAAACGAUGUCAACUAGCUGUUGGGGCCUUCGGGCCUUGGUAGCGCAGCUAACGCGUGAAGUUGACCGCCUGGGGAGUACGGUCGCAAGAUUAAAACUCAAAUGAAUUGAC
RNAcentral lists this ribosomal RNA (566 nucleotides) under uncultured bacterium. RNAcentral's name for it is "partial 16S ribosomal RNA". It matches the Rfam family "Bacterial small subunit ribosomal RNA", at positions 355 to 914 of the family's 1533-position model. The record is from RNAcentral.